Molecule: ribosomal RNA, 450 nt
Filed under: uncultured Glomeromycotina
Lineage: Eukaryota; Fungi; Glomeromycota
Description: SSU rRNA
Rfam family: Eukaryotic small subunit ribosomal RNA
Source: RNAcentral
AGCAGCCGCGGUAAUUCCAGCUCCAAUAGCGUAUAUUAAAGUUGUUGCAGUUAAAAAGCUCGUAGUUGAAUUUCGGGGUCAGUAGGUUGGUCGUGCCACUGGUAUGUACUGGCCUUACUGAUUCCUCCUUCCUGAUGAACCGUAAUGCCAUUAAUUUGGUGUUGCGGGGAAUCUGGACUGUUACUUUGAAAAAAUUAGAGUGUUUAAAGCAGGCUAACGCUUGAAUACAUUAGCAUGGAAUAAUGGAAUAGGACGUUCGAUUCUAUUUUGUUGGUUUCUAGGAUCGACGUAAUGAUUAAUAGGGAUAGUUGGGGGCAUUAGUAUUCAAUUGUCAGAGGUGAAAUUCUUGGAUUUAUUGAAGACUAACUACUGCGAAAGCAUUUGCCAAGGAUGUUUUCAUUAAUCAAGAACGAAAGUUAGGGAUCGAAGACGAUCAGAUACCGUCGUAGU